UAACCUGCCUUGUAGCGGGGGAUAACUAUUGGAAACGAUAGCUGAUACCGCAUAACAAUGGAUGACACAUGUCAUUUAUUUGAAAGGGGCAAUUGCUCCACUACAAGAUGGACCUGCGUUGUAUUAGCUAGUAGGUGAGGUAAUGGCUCACCUAGGCGACGAUACAUAGCCGACCUGAGAGGGUGAUCGGCCGCACUGGGACUGAGACACGGUCCAG
RNAcentral lists this ribosomal RNA (217 nucleotides) under uncultured Sphingobacteriales bacterium. RNAcentral describes it as "partial 16S ribosomal RNA". It matches the Rfam family "Bacterial small subunit ribosomal RNA", at positions 122 to 334 of the family's 1533-position model. The record is from RNAcentral. Lineage: Bacteria; Pseudomonadati; Bacteroidota; Sphingobacteriia; Sphingobacteriales.